Molecule: long non-coding RNA, 775 nt
Organism: Parus major (Great Tit)
Lineage: Eukaryota; Metazoa; Chordata; Aves; Passeriformes; Paridae
Source: Ensembl
GACUGAAGUACUGCAUGUUCUUGAAUAUCAUCCUUUUUCAGGUAUCAGCCAACUGUUACAGGAUCUUAGGGAGAGGAACAUGCGAUUUGACAGAUCUGCUUCCCUGACAAGAAAAGUCAAGCUGUUUAGAGAUGAAGGACUUUAUCUGAGGCUUUCUAUGGGGCACCAAAAUACUUUAGUUCUGCACCAUCUUGGCCCUUCUCCUGCUUACUUCUCUCUGGAAUCUAGGAAAGCGGGGUAAGACUGCCAUAACCUACAUUUCCACACUUGAAGUUUAAAUCAGACCUACGCUCUUCUCUUUGUGUAACGUCACCUUAUCUUGAAGUGUAGUUCAAUGGGCAGAGCUGGAAUGCAUCAGAAUUGGGUUGAGUUUCCUACUGUGCCUAUGCUCCACAGAUAGUGCUAAAGAAAUCAUGUAGUCUGAAGACAUAAAAUAGGGAUAAUAAUAACUCCCUCCAUUAGAGGUAAGGGUCUCAGGAUAAGUACUGUAGAGGGUAUGAGUAGAUAUGUCACCAAGGAUGAAGCAUAUCAAAGCACAGAUAUGUAUUGUCAUCAGAAAGGGGAACAGAUUCAGAGACAAGAGCUUGAAAACUGCCUACCCAUGCUGUAGUCAUUAAAGCCAUCCUGAAGGCAGGCAGGGGAGAGGUAAAAAUUAGAUGUGCUCCUGAUGCUUUGGCUUUUUGUUCUUUCUGCAUUUGAAACAAGUUGUUGGAAGCUACAAAGCACCAGAAGGAGUGCUCCUUGCCCAGUAUGACCAGAACAAUCCUGCUCCAUG